UCUGUAAUUUUUUUAUGCUUAAUCUAUCUAAAGUGUCGAAGAUAAUUCAUCAUCAGCUCCAAAAAAAUAUAAUAAAAAAUAGAUGGUGAUUUGAAAAAAAAAUUAAAAUUAUAAUUUUUUAGACAGUUUUGUUUACUAUUGUCUGUUUUACAGCCAAAAGGGAGGGUCAUGAUUCCUUGAAAUGACUAAUAAAAAAGGUUAUAAUGGUUGUAAAACUUGAGACAGAAAAAAGUAAAGAAAGCACAAGUGUUGUUGUCCUUUC
This 262-nucleotide long non-coding RNA is filed under the name Lathyrus oleraceus (garden pea). Its description in RNAcentral is "Pisum sativum (pea) long non-coding RNA (PSAT_LNC013092)". Lineage: Eukaryota; Viridiplantae; Streptophyta; Magnoliopsida; Fabales; Fabaceae. The record is from RNAcentral.